CUUUCUGUUGGAUUUAACUCUCUUCUUAUUGCUUUUUAAAUAGGAAGAGGUUGAGCCUGAUGUUUCCUAUAAAAUUGAAAAUUUCUAACAAAGUAGGCUAUUGUAGGAACAAAGUCAAAACCACUGUAUAUUUGUACUUUUAGAAUAAUAAAGUAGUUUGUUGUUAAAUUGAUGACACUGUGUAUUGUAUAUCAUAGUGCUGUUUUAUAAUUCUGCUAAGGCCUGGUAAAAGAUCUGCAGUCCUGUGUUGAGAGAAGACUGUGUUCUCAUGAAGAACAGAAGAGAUAGUCUGAUAAGAUGAGCCUGUUCCUCCAAGCUCAGUAGCUGUGACUUCAGAUUUUGUGGUAUUUCCAGUCAAUGAAAUGGCAAGGAAAAGGCAACAAGAAGACUUGCAUGGCAGAAGGAAAAGUCUCUCAAGGACAAGUCAACGUGGUAUUAAAAGAGUGAUUCAAGUUGGAGGCUCUUUUGCUCUACAAAGGACAUCAAAGUGUAGUCUAUCCCAGGGUAUUUCUUCUUCAGCCUUUCUCUCAUUCACCUGAAAAAAAGAAAUAUUUUUCCCAGUUUACAAAAACUACAUAUAUUCAUUGUAGAAAACUUAGGAAAUAUGGACAAUUAUAAAGAACAAAAUAAGAAGUACCUGUAUAUAUGUCAAAGAUAACUUCUCAAAUUGGUAAGAAUGAUGUUGAACUUUUGAGUGAAAGAAAACUCAAUAUAAGAGUGGCAAGUUGGAUGAACAUUUCUUUCUCUCUCAUAUUAAAAAAAUAUUCAAGGGUAAGCAAUCCAGGGAUAUGUUGGCUCCAUGACCACCAG
Heterocephalus glaber (naked mole-rat) is the source of this 810-nucleotide long non-coding RNA. NCBI's taxonomy places the organism in Eukaryota, Metazoa, Chordata, Mammalia, Rodentia, Bathyergidae. The record is from Ensembl.